GUAGUCCACGCAGUAAACGAUGAGAACUGGAUGAGGGUGGAGUAAAAUCCAUCCGUAUCGAAGCUAACGCGUUAAGUUCUCCGCCUGGGGAGUACGGCCGCAAGGUUAAAACUCAAAGAAAUUGACGGGGGCCCGCACAAGCGGUGGAGUAUGUGGUUUAAUUCGAUGCAACGCGAAGAACCUUACCUGGUCUUGACAUGUCAGAGAGCUCGCAGAGAUGUGAGUGUGCCUUCGGGAAUCUGAACACAGGUGCUGCAUGGCUGUCGUCAGCUCGUGUCGUGAGAUGUUGGGUUAAGUCCCGCAACGAGCGCAACCCUCGUCUUUAGUUGCCAUCAUUCAGUUGGGCACUCUAAAGAGACUGCCGGUGAUAAGCCGGA
Molecule: ribosomal RNA, 377 nt
Filed under: uncultured bacterium
Lineage: Bacteria
Description: bacterial SSU rRNA
Rfam family: Bacterial small subunit ribosomal RNA
Source: RNAcentral